This 72-nucleotide transfer RNA is filed under the name Candidatus Moduliflexus flocculans. Its description in RNAcentral is "tRNA-Lys". It matches the Rfam family "tRNA". From Rfam's summary of the family: Transfer RNA (tRNA) molecules are approximately 80 nucleotides in length. Their secondary structure includes four short double-helical elements and three loops (D, anti-codon, and T loops). The record is from RNAcentral. RNAcentral also lists the same sequence under 4 other names. Lineage: Bacteria; Candidatus Moduliflexota; Candidatus Moduliflexia; Candidatus Moduliflexales; Candidatus Moduliflexaceae.
GGGCCGUUAGCUCAGCGGUAGAGCACCGGCCUUUUAAGCCGGGUGUCGCUGGUUCGAAUCCAGCACGGCUCA